UACGUAGGGUGCAAGCGUUGUCCGGAAUUACUGGGCGUAAAGGGCUCGUAGGCGGCCAACUAAGUCAGACGUGAAAUCCCUCGGCUUAACCGGGGAACUGCGUCUGAUACUGGAUGGCUUGAGAUUGGGAGAGGGAUGCGGAAUUCCAGGUGUAGCGGUGAAAUGCGUAGAUAUCUGGAGGAACACCGGUGGCGAAGGCGACAUCCUGGACCAACACUGACGCUGAGGAGCGAAAGCCAGGGGAGCAAACGGG
Molecule: ribosomal RNA, 253 nt
Filed under: uncultured bacterium
Lineage: Bacteria
Description: partial 16S ribosomal RNA
Rfam family: Bacterial small subunit ribosomal RNA
Source: RNAcentral